RNAcentral lists this ribosomal RNA (1411 nucleotides) under Enterococcus faecalis. RNAcentral describes it as "bacterial SSU rRNA". The record is from RNAcentral. Lineage: Bacteria; Bacillati; Bacillota; Bacilli; Lactobacillales; Enterococcaceae.
ACGCUUCUUUCCUCCCGAGUGCUUGCACUCAAUUGGAAAGAGGAGUGGCGGACGGGUGAGUAACACGUGGGUAACCUACCCAUCAGAGGGGGAUAACACUUGGAAACAGGUGCUAAUACCGCAUAACAGUUUAUGCCGCAUGGCAUAAGAGUGAAAGGCGCUUUCGGGUGUCGCUGAUGGAUGGACCCGCGGUGCAUUAGCUAGUUGGUGAGGUAACGGCUCACCAAGGCCACGAUGCAUAGCCGACCUGAGAGGGUGAUCGGCCACACUGGGACUGAGACACGGCCCAGACUCCUACGGGAGGCAGCAGUAGGGAAUCUUCGGCAAUGGACGAAAGUCUGACCGAGCAACGCCGCGUGAGUGAAGAAGGUUUUCGGAUCGUAAAACUCUGUUGUUAGAGAAGAACAAGGACGUUAGUAACUGAACGUCCCCUGACGGUAUCUAACCAGAAAGCCACGGCUAACUACGUGCCAGCAGCCGCGGUAAUACGUAGGUGGCAAGCGUUGUCCGGAUUUAUUGGGCGUAAAGCGAGCGCAGGCGGUUUCUUAAGUCUGAUGUGAAAGCCCCCGGCUCAACCGGGGAGGGUCAUUGGAAACUGGGAGACUUGAGUGCAGAAGAGGAGAGUGGAAUUCCAUGUGUAGCGGUGAAAUGCGUAGAUAUAUGGAGGAACACCAGUGGCGAAGGCGGCUCUCUGGUCUGUAACUGACGCUGAGGCUCGAAAGCGUGGGGAGCAGACAGGAUUAUAUACCCUGGUAGUCCACGCCGUAAACGAUGAGUGCUAAAUGUUGGAGGGUUUCCGCCCUUCAGUGCUGCAGCAAACGCAUUAAGCACUCCGCCUGGGGGAGUACGACCGCAACGGUUGAAACUCAAAGGAAAUUGACGGGGGGCCCGCACAAGCGGAUGGAGCAUGUGGUUUAAGUUCGAAGCAACGCGAAGAAACCUUACCAGGUCUUGACAUCCUUUGGACCACUCUAGAGAUAGAGCUUUCCCUUCCGGGGACAAAGUGACARGAUGSUGCAUGGUUGUCSUCCGCUCGUGUCGUGAGAUGUUGGGUUAAGUCCCGCAACGAGCGCAACCCUUAUUGUUAGUUGCCAUCAUUUAGUUGGGCACUCUAGCGAGACUGCCGGUGACAAACCGGAGGAAGGUGGGGAUGACGUCAAAUCAUCAUGCCCCUUAUGACCUGGGCUACACACGUGCUACAAUGGGAAGUACAACGAGUCGCUAGACCGCGAGGUCAUGCAAAUCUCUUAAAGCUUCUCUCAGUUCGGAUUGCAGGCUGCAACUCGCCUGCAUGAAGCCGGAAUCGCUAGUAAUCGCGGAUCAGCACGCCGCGGUGAAUACGUUCCCGGGCCUUGUACACACCGCCCGUCACACCACGAGAGUUUGUAACACCCGAAGUCGGUGAGGUAAC